This 490-nucleotide ribosomal RNA is filed under the name uncultured bacterium. Its description in RNAcentral is "partial 16S ribosomal RNA". It matches the Rfam family "Bacterial small subunit ribosomal RNA", at positions 30 to 507 of the family's 1533-position model. The record is from RNAcentral.
AUUGAACGCUGGCGGCAGGCCUAACACAUGCAAGUCGAACGGUAACAGGAAGCAGCUUGCUGCUUCGCUGACGAGUGGCGGACGGGUGAGUAAUGUCUGGGAAGCUGCCUGAUGGAGGGGGAUAACUACUGGAAACGGUAGCUAAUACCGCAUAAUGUCGCAAGACCAAAGAGGGGGACCUUCGGGCCUCUUGCCAUCGGAUGUGCCCAGAUGGGAUUAGCUUGUUGGUGGGGUAACGGCUCACCAAGGCGACGAUCCCUAGCUGGCCUGAGAGGAUGACCAGCCACACUGGAACUGAGACACGGUCCAGACUCCUACGGGAGGCAUCAGUGGGGAAUAUUGCACAAUGGGCGCAAGCCUGAUGCAGCUAUGCCGCGUGUAUGAAGAAGGCCUUCGGGUUGUAAAGUACUUUCAGCGGGGAGGAAGGGAGUAAAGUUAAUACCUUUGCUCAUUGACGUUACCCGCAGAAGAAGCACCGGCUAACUCCGUG